Molecule: non-coding RNA, 446 nt
Filed under: Camelus bactrianus (Bactrian camel)
Lineage: Eukaryota; Metazoa; Chordata; Mammalia; Artiodactyla; Camelidae
Also listed under: 1 other name
Description: Eukaryotic large subunit ribosomal RNA
Rfam family: Eukaryotic large subunit ribosomal RNA
Source: Rfam by way of RNAcentral
UUGCUGAGCUUGACUCCAGUCUGACACAGUGAAGAGACUUAAGAGAUGUAUAAGUGGGAGGUAACCUCCACCCACACCCUUGCAAAGGGGUGGACUGGAGCAGCCUUUUGUCCACCUGUGAUACUACUACUUUUACUGUUUUUUCACUGACCCAGUAAGGGGAUUGAAGGGGGUGACUCCCAAGGGACUCUUGCUUCUGGCUGCAAGCACUCAGUCACACCAGCCAGGCAUAACUCUAAGGGGAGUGCCAGGUAGGAAGUUGAACUGUUACUGUACACCUGUGAAACAAUGUAGAUAUCCCAAGUCAAGCUCAGGGAGGACAGAAAGCUCCCAUGGAGCAGAAGAGCAAAAGCUUACCUGAUCUUGAUUUUCAACAUGAACACAGACUUUGAAAGCAGGGACACACAUACAUACGCAAAUAAUGAUGAUGAUAAUAAUAACAACAA